Molecule: long non-coding RNA, 1486 nt
Organism: Cyprinus carpio carpio
Lineage: Eukaryota; Metazoa; Chordata; Actinopteri; Cypriniformes; Cyprinidae
Source: Ensembl
CUAGUACCCGUGUGGGGCUGGGUGUCCUGUGGUGUAGCUCGUGUUUUUGUGGUGUACUACUACAAGGGAUGUUUUAUUGUGCUGAUGCAGUCACCAGCACCAGUAUAGAUUUAAUUGUUUUUUAAUUGAGGGUAUUUGAAUCCAUUAGUGCAUCAUGGGGGUAUAAGUUUGUAAUGAUGGUAAUAUGGUUAUUGUAUUACAUUUUAGAACGGUUUGCCGGAUGGAAUAAAUUCAGGACCAUCAUGUAUUUGUUUGGCUGUGCACCUUAAAGGGUGUUGGAUGUUGAUUGCUAGUCGCUGUUCUCGUAUAUUAUUUUUUUUAUGUUUGUUUGUUUGUUUGGUUUUAUGUGAUAGCUGUGAAAGUGACUGCUCCCUGACUUAUUUGUGGUAAUUAAUUUCCUAGCCAGCUUUAGGUGUGGUUGUUUGUUUAUGGUCUUUGUUUGAUGUAUUGGUGGCUGGCUAGUGGAAUUGUUGAUGUAUUUUUUUUUGUCUUUUUUUUCCUUUAUGUAUUUAAUUUAAGCUGUUCUUUACCCUGGAUCAAGCAGCAGGGGGUAUUUUCCCAUCGUGAUCGGUGGAGAACUAGGAGUACAAUGUAACAGAGCCCUUAUAGGUCUUGUGGGUGGAUUUGGUGUUUACUAAUUGUGAACGUGUAUCACAUACUCCAGUUUGUAGUGAAGGGCAUAUGGGGGUUUGCUGUGGUUUUCCUAGAAUGCAGUGAAAUGUCUCCUGUAUAGGUAGCUCAGGUUUCUUUGUAUUGCUAGUUGGUCAAUUUAAGAAACUGUUCCCCCUGUUAGCUGACUCAGUUCAUGUCCUGAAUAUUUUUUAUGGUAUUGUUUAAUAAAGAAUUCGUUUUUUUCUAUGACUUAUUGUCUUUGAUAGAUCUCUUUUUUUUCUGUUUUAUUUGGCCCUUGUAGGUGUUACAGUUGCUGAAAACUCAAAUCUGUGGUUUAUUUAUAAAGACAGCGCCUAUUUAAAAAUCUGUUUCGCCGAUUUCGGAGACGGUCAGCUCCACGUGAUCAGCAGAAGCUCAGAGCUUAUGUAUCCGCCUAGAGCAGUCUCAACUUGGCUAGUCCUUCUGAUAUGUGCCGCUGGCUCUGAUGUCUCUUUAGUGGUUAAACUUAAAAUAUAAUCAGUUUUGUGCAAAUCUAACAGGUUAUCUUUGGUCUUCAUUCAAUUGUGCGACUGACUGCUGUGACAGUUGACGUACAACGCUGCUGACGUGUUAUCUUUGUUAUUGGGCGCACCAGAAAACACGUCAGCAGCAUCAUACGUCAACAGUCACAGCAGUCGCGUUCACAACAGACCCGGAACAGAAGACAAUCCUGAAUAAAGUCAUUUUUGUUAUUUUUGGACCAAAAUGUAUUUUCGAUGCUUCAACAAAUUCUAACGGACCCUCUGAUGUCACAUGGACUACUUUGAUGUUUUUAUUACCUUUCUGGACGUGGACAGUAGGGCUGGACAAUAUAUCGAACGAUAUGAUCAUGCGC